AGCAGUGUUUGGGAAGGAGUAAAUGAAGCAGUUGGAAGCAAAGAAGCUGCUGCUUUGGGAUCCGCAAAUCAGAGGAUCAGGAAAUGUGAAACAACUUUCCUGACAGCUUCAGGGAGUGACAUCCAGGCAGGAACUCGGCGGCUUGGCAGAGCUGGAGGAGGAUAGCAGCGCUCUUUUUCCAACCUGGAAACAGCCCAUUCAGUCAAUAACUCACCUCCAGUGCCUUUUCCUAAA
Molecule: long non-coding RNA, 234 nt
Filed under: Homo sapiens (human)
Lineage: Eukaryota; Metazoa; Chordata; Mammalia; Primates; Hominidae
Description: HSALNT0358191
Source: RNAcentral